Zonotrichia albicollis (white-throated sparrow) is the source of this 4121-nucleotide non-coding RNA. The record is from RefSeq and is a predicted model, not a curated record. NCBI's taxonomy places the organism in Eukaryota, Metazoa, Chordata, Aves, Passeriformes, Passerellidae.
UUUUGGUCCUUGUAGGGAAGCCUUGUCUGUCCCACAUCUCUGACUUAAUAAUAUGUGGUUUUGCUGUUUUUAUGGGACCGGUGACCUAAUGAAAGAACUGAUUUCUAUCUCUUAUUGUUGUACCCGUGAAACAAUCUGCAUUAUGUCUGUGCUUUUUAAGAUGUUGUAAGUGUUGGAUAAUUGUCAUGGUCCUAUUCUUUAUUGAAACAUAAUAAAGCAUUACUUUUUUUUAUUUCCUUCUUUACAAUGUAUUACUUUUUGAACACAAAAAAGGUGGUCUGGUGGUGUAAUUUUUUGCUGGAUUGUCUGUUGGCUGCAUGAGUCCAUUCUGCUGAAAUGACUCCUAAAAAGCUUCAAGAUUUGCAUGUACACACUUACUUUUAUUUAUUCUGCGGUGUUAUUUAAAUUUACUAUGAAUAUAAAUUUGAGCUAUUUUUACUUUGUUCUGGAAGGGUUGUCAAAUAAAUGCUAUCCUAUACAGUAGCUAUAUACUGUCUUUCUUGGCAGGAGUUAUCCUCUGGGAAUUAUACCUGUGUGUAGUGCACAGGUUUGGAGAUUUUUGCUGGUCAGCUAUUUCUCAAUUUGUUUGAUCCUCCCCCUCUUUUUCCUAUUUCCAAUGCCUCUUACUAUACAAUGCUUCUUGAAUGUGAAAAGGUUUUGCUUGGUAAUUUUGCACAUUUUUGCAUUUGAGCCAUCACUGGUUUUUUUUGUUUGUCCUUUCUCACCACUUUUCUGAAAAGUUCUCAUUCUCAGGGGAGAUGAUAAUGGGGACUUUUAGAUUUACUUUUCUCCCUCUGUAGAUCGUUUGUAUGCAUGUUAUUUAAUACAGGUUAUGCCACCAUACAGAUUGGCCACCACCCUGAUACGUAUUUUCAUUUGCAGAUAGCCAGGCAGUGUAUACAUCUGUUUAUACCUAUUAAUUCGAAAUUAUUUGUUCUACAGGUAUAGGCAACACCUAUUUAUCUUUGAAUUGCCACACUGAUGAUGGUUGUAGGACAGAUGAAACUCUUCCAGUUAUCGUGGAAGCAACCAAGAGCCAUGCAGGCACCCACUCACCAGUGGGACUGAGGAGAGAAUCAAAAGGGGUCCUUCACUUUCUAAGUAUUCUUAAGACAAACUCAGAUGAAGAACUACAACAGGUAUCAGUCUAAUUUGUUCCUAAGCAAUACUUUAGCUUCAAAAGAAUAAACUCCACAGAUUAUUUAGAGUAAAUUUUUAUUAUGGCAAAUUUUACAUAGAAUCCUUGUAGAUAUGACAGCAAUAUAAAAGUACAUAGAACACAUUCAUGCAUUACAGUGUGCUUGGGUUAUUCAGGGAAAUACUCUAUAUUUCAAGGCUGUCUGUGUAAUGCUUACCAAAUUUAUCUUUUCCCAUACCAUGUAGUUUAAUUUUCUUGGUUUUAUUUUAGCAUGCUUUAUUUGUGUAUUGCUUUUUUAAACUUCUUACCAGCAUCAGUGGGUACAAAUUAACAGUGUGUAUAUUAUUGAAGUAUUAGGACACUUCUGAAGAUAGACAAAAUUAAACCAAAAGGAGAAGCAAACAACCUGUUUUCAGGAACUCAAACAUUUCAAUGUUAUGAAAAAGUGAAAAGGAGUUCUAAGCAAUCUGAAUUCACUAAAUUCUGAAAUAACACUUCAUUUCCUAUAUGACAUCUUUUACUUUAUGGCCAGUCUCAUGUUUAAUGGUCAGUGUUGCAGGACAGGUUGGGGAUGGCAGGAAUGACUGAGAGAGUGCCUCCACUUCUUUGCUCACUCUAGGAGUGCCAGCAAUUCAGCACUUCUCUUCCCCUCUGCAUCUGCUUUCAAUCUCUCAUCCUGACUUUCCUCCCAACACUCCCGUCCAUCCCCAAAGGCAACCAUCCCCUUGAGGAGGCUGUUGAAACAAUGUGAUUUUCAAAUUUGUUUUCUCUUUAAUGAUCUGCUUUUCUUUUCAGGAAAGCUGUUAGCUGAGCUGAAGGAGUCACUGAUCUCUCAGUGGAUCUGCCAGCACAUGUAUUUUUACAUCCUUAGGAGAAUUAAUAUUAACUUAGAAACUCUCUGUGGUAUGUUUUUUAAAUCAGCUAAAAGUAUCCUGAUGGAAAUACUGAAAUCACAGAUACAGAUUUGGUUCAUCUCCUAAAGCAAAACCUUAUGAUACUGCUACUUUAUUUAGAUGAAACAUUUGUGAGGGAAAGGAAUUAUUCUUUUUUGCAUCAUCUUCCUAGGGAGAUGAGCAUCCCAGAGCACUCUCAUAUGAAAUGUACAAGCCCAGCUAAAAAUAGAGAUGGAUUUUUGCUGAGAGUGAUGAUCAACACGACUAGAUACCACAGAACUUGUCUAAUUCCACUGAGAGGAAAAGAAAAUACUUUUGAAAGCUGCAGCACAAGCAAAAUUAAGGCUUUGUGCACCCUACUGACAUGGAGACUCCAAGCUGUCAAUCCCUGUGCAGCCCCUGUGGUUAUCCGCACACAAUAAAGGAGAAUCGCACCCUCCACACCUCAGUGUGCACCUAAAUUACUAUCAGAAUCUUUAAAUUUUCAUUUCUUUACUUUUUUCCAGCUAUGGCUUCCAAUUUCACUGCCUGUCCUCCCCUUGUGCCUGAUUCCCAACUCACUCUUCAGAACUCUCUCACCACCAUUUUCCACCUUUACUGCACCUUCCAAUUUGAUUCUAAUAAAAAAAAUCUUCCACAUUUGAAAACUAUAAAUAAAUUGGACAAAUGCAUUCAAUGCUCAGAAGCACUACAAUGAAUGUUACUUGAAUGUCUAGAAUCACCAGAAAAGGAAAAGAGAAUAAACCAGGAUUUUGUAUCUUUGUGCCAUUGUAGCAUUGUGUGAAAUAGUUCCACCCAGCAGUGUGCACAUUUCUGGCCUCUAAAUAAAUAAACUAUUGCAAGAGGCAAAGAAAUUUCUGAGAGAAGUGAUAAAGCUGAUUUAAUGCUUAAAAUGGCUUUUCUAUUAAGCAUACUAGGACACCUUCAGAUCAAUGACCACUGAGUGAAUAUGUUCUUGCUUACCUUUACUACCUAGGAGGUCAGUAGUUAAAUAUAUCAAACUUAUGAAGUCUAAUCUAAUCAUAAAAUUAGUUACAGCCAAAGGGUUAUUGACAUCAGAAAUGCUGUCUAAAUUUCCUAGGCAGUUUUUAAAAGUAAAUAGAUCCUUACUCUAUAGGUUUUUUUCAAAUCAGAGAGAAGAGAGAAAGAUGUUGUGUGGAAAGAAGAUAUUGGUGCCAUCUCUCUCCUCACAGAAAUCAAUUCUGGACUACACAGCUGCUUACACAAGCCUUAACACUGGUGGUAAAUAGUUCAUAAACUGAUCCAUUUCACUACAUGCAUGUCCUUAGGAUCAAGUUUGGUUUUUUGGUAAGGUAAAAAACCAAAACCAAAUCCUCUCCCCAAAAAACACCAGUCCCAAACAAAAAAAGUGAUUCUACCCUUUCCUCCCUCCCAACCGCGGCCAAAACAUAAAACCAAACUAACAAACAAAAAACUCACCCUCAAAAAAGCUCCUAUUUGCGUCCUUAACGUCUGCUUUUUUGUGUUUUCCCUGGGUUUCCAGGUUGCUGGCACCCUGGUUUGUGCUGGUAUUCUCAUGAUUCCCUCAGAAAAUACUUGUGAAGGCCAUAAAGGAAUCCCACGACAGGAAAAACCUGUAGCUUCUACAGGAAGAGGACUUGUUUUCUAUUUAAGAGAAAAGAGGCAUCAUUUGUAUGCAGAGUGCAGAGGCCUGAAACAAUCAAACCCCUCCAAGAUUUGAUACCCAGAGGUGCCUCUUGAGGAGGAGAAAAGGUUUGUUUGCAUCAGCCCUGUUACUGUGGCAGGGCUGUUUCUGUACCUGCAGCCAUGCAUUGAGUGUUCCAGGACGGAAUGGGCGAGGAGAGGGGAAGGAUGAAAUGAUCAGGAGCUCCUGACAGAAGUAUUUUAUCAUGUAGGAUGGACCAUUGAUCUCUCAGCUUUGAAGCCUGCAGAACCAAAAUAAUAUUUUCUAACGGAGCAAGCUGGAACAUCCCAAAUGCUCCUUGGGUUGUUUUGGUUUUGUGGUGGGUUGUUUAGGGCUUUAUUUGUUUGUUUUUGUUCGGUAGUUGGGGUUUUUCCCGCUUUAGGCCGGGCAGCAGCCACGGUAUAACAAAACAGCAGUAAAAAAA